ACCGGCUGUGACAAUGUCACCGUGAUGGACAGUUCAUUCUCGCCCGCUGGCCGAGUACGAGAACUGCGGGAAGUGCGGUCGCCUCUCGUUGUCCAGACAGUCCAUUCCAUCCUCAUCGACUAAUGAGGGGAAGAUUCACAACCUGAACUCACCAACACCACAGCGGACAUGGUGGUGGCGAUGUUAUGCUGUGGGCAUCCGGAGCUACAAUGGAAUGUCUUGGAUCAUGUGUUAGAACAGAACAAAGUCCAGACCUGUCUAGAAAUCCAUGGCAAGACUGAAAAAUUUAUGUUUCACACAGUCCGGGUCAAAGGUCACAGUUAUGUUCUGCUUCAUACGGCUCUACAAUAUAAACUCCUAAUAAAAUACAUGUGACAGAAUGUGGAGAAAAAAAAAAGUUGAAGUGGUCUUAAUUCUCCUGCGAGGCGCCGCGCGUGGAAGUAAAUAAGUGAGUUAUGAGAGAGAUUUUUUUUUUUUUUUUUUUAAUGUGUGAAUAUGUUUGCGUGUGAAUCAAGCUGGUCACCCA
Molecule: long non-coding RNA, 526 nt
Organism: Xiphophorus couchianus (Monterrey platyfish)
Lineage: Eukaryota; Metazoa; Chordata; Actinopteri; Cyprinodontiformes; Poeciliidae
Exons: 3
Source: RefSeq, a predicted model, not a curated record